Molecule: unclassified non-coding RNA, 253 nt
Filed under: uncultured Sporolactobacillaceae bacterium
Lineage: Bacteria; Bacillati; Bacillota; Bacilli; Caryophanales; Sporolactobacillaceae
Description: contains 16S-23S intergenic spacer region
Rfam family: Bacterial small subunit ribosomal RNA
Source: RNAcentral
UACGUAGGGGGCAAGCGUUGUCCGGAAUUACUGGGCGUAAAGCGCGCGCAGGCGGCCUCGUAGGUCGGAUGUGAAAGCCCACGGCUCAACCGUGGAGGGUCAUUGGAACCUGGGAGACUUGAGGGUAGGAGAGGAAAGUGGAAUUCUACGUGUAGCGGUGAAAUGCGUAGAUAUGUGGAGGAACACCAGUGGCGAAGGCGACUUUCUGGCCUAAAACUGACGCUGAGGCGCGAAAGCGUGGGGAGCAAACAGG